RNAcentral lists this ribosomal RNA (270 nucleotides) under uncultured archaeon. RNAcentral's name for it is "partial 16S ribosomal RNA". It matches the Rfam family "Archaeal small subunit ribosomal RNA", at positions 477 to 747 of the family's 1478-position model. The record is from RNAcentral.
CAGCCCCUCGAGUGGUGGGGAUGAUUAUUUGGCCUAAAGCGUCCGUAGCCGGCUCUGUAAAUCUCUCGUUAAAUCCAGCGUCCUAAGCGUUGGGCUGCGAGAGACACUGCCGAGCUAGAGGGUGGGAGAGGUCAGCGGUAUUCCUGGGGUAGGGGCGAAAUCCAUUGAUCCCAGGAGGACCACCAGUGGCGAAGGCUGCUGACUAGAACACGCCUGACGGUGAGGGACGAAAGCUGGGGUAGCGAAUCGGAUUAGAUACCCGAGUAGUCC